RNAcentral lists this ribosomal RNA (427 nucleotides) under uncultured archaeon. Its description in RNAcentral is "bacterial SSU rRNA". It matches the Rfam family "Archaeal small subunit ribosomal RNA", at positions 474 to 903 of the family's 1478-position model. The record is from RNAcentral.
UACCAGCCCUCCGAGUUGUAGGGAUGAUUAUUGGGCUUAAAGCGUCCGUAGCUGGCUUAGCAAGUCUCCUGUUAAUUCAGCGACCUAAUCGUUGAGCCGCGGGAGAUACUACUAGGCUAGGAGGCGGGAGAGGUCGACGGUACUUUCGGGGUAGGGGUGAAAUCCUAUAAUCCCGGGAGGACCACCAGUGGCGAAGGCUGUCGACUAGAACGCGCUCGACGGUGAGGGACGAAAGCUGGGGGAGCGAACCGGAUUAGAUACCCGGGUAGUCCCAGCUGUAAACUAUGCGGGCUAGGUGUUGGGGUGGCUACGGGCCACUUCAGUGCCGCAGGAAAGCCAUUAAGCCCGCCGCCUGGGGAGUACGGCCGCAAGGCUGAAACUUAAGGAAUUGGCGGGGGAGCACCACAAGGCGUGAAGCUUGCGGUUC